AUUUGUUAUUUCGACGAGAGGAACUUCACGUGUGAAGCAUCAUCAGAAAAGAAAUAAAAUGACCGCCAAGAAGUUGUCAAGGAUAACCAGACGGACAACACCUUUCUAUCUACUUGCUAUUCGCCCUGUUUCGGACACGUGUAAUAAACUGUUACUGAAGAAUGAGGGAAGACGUGAGUAGAAUGACAAAUCUAUGCCGUUUACUAUUGUGAUGCAGUCUGCCAGAGAAAGAGUUGGACCAAACAUCAAAGGAUUUGCACUUAAACUGAAAUUUAACUAGAUGUUUUCUUCAUAAACAAGGAUGUAUUGAGAAAUUUCUUGUUCCUCCAAAGCGGUCCAUUUGCUUAUGCAGAACUUGUGUACCAGUACAAGUGGCCAGCACUAUAAUAUAUGGCACAUAAAACUAAAAUCACGAAUACCACAGGUACUUGACCCGUUGCCAGUCGAAGAAAGAAAUCUUCCAUGACAAAUUUAUUUUCCCCUAAUUUUUUAUGCUGUUAUCUUUCUGUUGGAAACACAUGAGAAGUGAUCUAAUGUUAACAGGAAAGUGUGAUGAUUGUUACUGCAAAUCUACAGAAACUGGUGAGCUGUACGACUGGCUGCUAACCACUCAUCUUGAGUAUUUGAUCUCAUACAACUGUCAAAUUGUAUAAGAACUUUAUUUUGUCAGCUUCAGAAAUCUUUCAAUUGUUGAGAAAAUUUUUACUUACUUU
Long non-coding RNA from Daphnia carinata, 713 nucleotides. RefSeq lists it as uncharacterized. The transcript has 4 exons. NCBI's taxonomy places the organism in Eukaryota, Metazoa, Arthropoda, Branchiopoda, Diplostraca, Daphniidae. The record is from RefSeq and is a predicted model, not a curated record.